This 604-nucleotide ribosomal RNA is filed under the name uncultured bacterium. RNAcentral's name for it is "bacterial SSU rRNA". It matches the Rfam family "Bacterial small subunit ribosomal RNA", at positions 338 to 953 of the family's 1533-position model. The record is from RNAcentral.
CCUACGGGAGGCAGCAGUGGGGAAUAUUGCACAAUGGGCGCAAGCCUGAUGCAGCAACGCCGCGUGAGGGACGACGGCCUUCGGGUUGUAAACCUCUUUUAGUAGGGAAGAAGCGAAAGUGACGGUACCUGCAGAAAAAGCACCGGCUAACUACGUGCCAGCAGCCGCGGUAAUACGUAGGGUGCAAGCGUUAUCCGGAAUUAUUGGGCGUAAAGAGCUCGUAGGCGGUUUGUCGCGUCUGCUGUGAAAACUGGAGGCUCAACCUCCAGCCUGCAGUGGGUACGGGCAAACUAGAGUGCGGUAGGGGAGAUUGGAAUUCCUGGUGUAGCGGUGGAAUGCGCAGAUAUCAGGAGGAACACCGAUGGCGAAGGCAGAUCUCUGGGCCGUAACUGACGCUGAGGAGCGAAAGCAUGGGGAGCGAACAGGAUUAGAUACCCUGGUAGUCCAUGCCGUAAACGUUGGGCGCUAGAUGUGGGGACCAUUCCACGGUUUCCGUGUCGCAGCUAACGCAUUAAGCGCCCCGCCUGGGGAGUACGGCCGCAAGGCUAAAACUCAAAAGAGUAGUACGGCGUGAGAGACGCGACGACGACGACGACGGAGGAGG